RNAcentral lists this ribosomal RNA (468 nucleotides) under uncultured bacterium. RNAcentral describes it as "partial 16S ribosomal RNA". It matches the Rfam family "Bacterial small subunit ribosomal RNA", at positions 28 to 507 of the family's 1533-position model. The record is from RNAcentral.
GACGAACGCUGGCGGCGUGCUUAACACAUGCAAGUCGAACGGAAAGUCCCUGCUUUUGGGGGGUGCUCGAGUGGCGAACGGGUGAGUAACACGUGAGUACCCUGCACUUGACUUUGGGAUAACUUCAGGCAACUGGGGCUAAUACCGGAUAGGAUCUCCUGCUUCAGGGUGGGGGUUGGAAAGUUUCGGCGGUUGGGGAUGGACUCGCGGCUUAUCAGCUUGUUGGUGGGGUAGUGGCUUACCAAGGCUUUGACGGGUAGCCGGCCUGAGAGGGUGACCGGCCACGUUGGGACUGAGAUGCGGCACAGACUCCUACGGGAGGCAGCAGUGGAGAAUAGUGCACAAUGGACGGAAGGCUGAUGCAGCAACGCAGCGUGCGGGAUGACGGCCUGCGGGUAGUAAACCGCUUUCGCCUGUGACGAAGCGUGAGUGACGGUAAUGGGUAAAGAAGCACCGGCUAACUACGUG